This 512-nucleotide long non-coding RNA is filed under the name Oryza brachyantha (malo sina). RNAcentral's name for it is "long non-coding RNA (OBRA_LNC002678)". The record is from RNAcentral. Lineage: Eukaryota; Viridiplantae; Streptophyta; Magnoliopsida; Poales; Poaceae.
AAACUACACUAUAAAUCAACCUAUACCACUUAUAUUUUUUCGCUAAUUUUUCUUAAAUUUUAUGAAUUCUCACCAAAUUUAUUGACCCUGCUGUGGUCAUGUUGUUAACAUUCUUGUGGAGGUCACGGUUACUGCGGCGAUACCCGCCGUUUCGCGAACCCUGGUGACAAUGGAUGAAGCACACCGUCGUUCGUCCUGCCUGCCAUGGUGAAUGCGCUGGGACGCGCUCAACAUUGGGACAUACGCAUGAUCACGUGACUUGUGGAUUGAUUCUGCAAGGUGCGAGACUCAACGAUUGAAGCAUCCAAUCAAGAGGUUGCUGAGUGUGAAAUUCUCCAUGGUAAGUUUCAUUUCCUGGUGCCUUCCACUCGCAGCAGUGCCAUUGUAGCAUGUGAAUAUGUUAGAUGAUCAUGUUCAAACUGCUAGCAGGAGUAGCACUUGUAAACAAGAUGUUCAGGAGUAGCACUUGUGAACAAGAUGUUAGAAAAAUAGAGCAAAAUGUAGGCAUAUAU